AUGACAUCGCUGAGUACUCUAGUCAUGAGAAACUCCAGAAUAUCUGACAACCUUUCUUCAGUGGACUUCUCAAAAUUUGUUAACCUCACUUAUCUGGACUUAAGUUUUAACAGCGUCACAGGCAAAGUUUCUCCAACCCUUCUGAACCUGAAUUCUCUCAUUUUCCUGUUUCUUGGGAGCAAUAACCUCUCUGGGAGCUUACCAGACAUCAUUAGCACUUCACUUACUACUAUUGACUUGUCAUACAAUAUACUCUCAGGAAGAUACCCUUCUUGGGUUAACAUGAAUAAUUUACAAGUGAAUUUGGUGUGGAACAACUUUGUGAUAGAUAACUCGAACAACAGUAUUUUGCCUUCAGGACUUAAUUGUCUUCAGCGAGAUACUCCUUGUUUUAUUGGUUCUCCACCUCAUUCCUCCUUUGCGAUAGACUAUGGUGGUUCGAGACCCAUCAGAGCCUCAGACAACUCCAUUUACGAACCUGAUGAUGCCAGUCUUCCAGUUGCAUCAUACUACGUUACGAACUCAACGAGAUGGGGUGUUAGCAACACCGGGACAUUCAUGGACUCAUCUAAUGGGAGUUAUAUGAUAUACACUUCUCGCCGCUUUACCAACACACUUGAUUCUGAACUAUUUCCGACAGCCAGAAUGUCACCCUCUUCAUUGAGAUACUACGGCAUUGGGCUCAAGAAUGGCAUGUACAACGUUGUACUUCAAUUCGCAGAGAUCUUUUCCCAGAUGACCAGACAUGGAAAAGCGUGGGCAAGAGGGUUUUCAAUAUAUAUAUCCAGGGAGAUCUUAAAGAAACAGAUUUCGAUAUAA
This 819-nucleotide ribosomal RNA is filed under the name Triticum aestivum (bread wheat). RNAcentral's name for it is "partial small subunit ribosomal RNA". The record is from RNAcentral. Lineage: Eukaryota; Viridiplantae; Streptophyta; Magnoliopsida; Poales; Poaceae.